Molecule: ribosomal RNA, 404 nt
Filed under: Candidatus Pelagibacter communis
Lineage: Bacteria; Pseudomonadati; Pseudomonadota; Alphaproteobacteria; Candidatus Pelagibacterales; Candidatus Pelagibacteraceae
Also listed under: 2 other names
Description: bacterial SSU rRNA
Rfam family: Bacterial small subunit ribosomal RNA
Source: RNAcentral
UGGGGAAUCUUGCACAAUGGAGGAAACUCUGAUGCAGCGAUGCCGCGUGAGUGAAGAAGGCCCUUGGGUUGUAAAGCUCUUUCGUCGGGGAAGAAAAUGACUGUACCCGAAUAAGAAGGUCCGGCUAACUUCGUGCCAGCAGCCGCGGUAAUACGAAGGGACCUAGCGUAGUUCGGAAUUACUGGGCUUAAAGAGUUCGUAGGUGGUUGAAAAAGUUGGUGGUGAAAUCCCAGAGCUUAACUCUGGAACUGCCAUCAAAACUUUUCAGCUAGAGUAUGAUAGAGGAAAGCAGAAUUUCUAGUGUAGAGGUGAAAUUCGUAGAUAUUAGAAAGAAUACCAAUUGCGAAGGCAGCUUUCUGGAUCAUUACUGACACUGAGGAACGAAAGCAUGGGUAGCGAAGAGG